AGACGAAGUAACCAGGAAGUGUCCCAGCAAGAUAGUAAUCAGACGUUUCUGCAAGCCAUUCCUGUUAUGAAACAGCUGUGUACCACCCUUGGAAAACUGACAGGGUUCUUUACUGUCUUCAUUGUUGUCAUUGCCGCCGUUUUGACGUAUUUCGACGACCCUGAGACGGAUAAAUACAUCAGCAUGGCUGAGGACAUAAAGACUCUGGAGGAAAACUUCAGGCAGCAAAAUCAAAGCUGCUUCAUCCUCGGCGCCUCUGGGGAAACUGGAAAGGUGCUGGUUCAAGAGCUGCUGGAGCGAAACAUCUUCUCCAAGAUCACUCUCAUCGGAAGGAGACAGCUCACCUUUGAGGGCAAAGCCAAUGAACAAUUGGUACAAGAGGUGGUGGACUUUGAGAAGCUUGAUGAUUAUGCUGCCGCCUUCCAGGGCCAUGAUGUUGGAUACUGCUGCCUGGGAACAACCAAGGCAAAAUCAGGAGCUGAAGGAUUCAUCCGUGUUGAUCACGACUACACUGUAAAAUCAGCCGAGCUCGCAAAGGCAGGAGGAUGCUCUCAGUUCCACCUUCAGUCCUCCAGAGGAGCUGAUAAAAAAAGCAGCUUCCUCUACCUUAAAGUCAAGGGUCAAGUGGAAGCAGAAAUUGAAGCACUGGGUUUUGACCGAUAUUCCGUUUAUCGACCAGGGGUUCUGUUGGUCGACAGGCAGGAGAGUCGGCCUACCGAGUGGCUGGCCAGGAAAUUCUUGAGCGGCUUCACGUCUGUGUGCUCCACGUCCAUGGCCAUCCAAAUCGAAGUGGUGGCCAAAGCUAUGGUGUCAAACACUCUGCUUCAACCGGAGCAGAAGGCGGAGAUCCUGGAGCACAAAGACAUCACGGCUGUGGGAAAGAGUGCAGAGAAAUAAGAGAGAGCAAGAAAUACACUUAGGUGAGACAAAGUAGUAGCUGAUAAACACUGGGUGUUGUAGAACUGUUCCCUGAUAUGUAAUAUGCCCAUAUUGAACUCAAUGACACCAACUCUGAUGAUUAAUGCAUGUUUAACUAGUGUGGCAGUUGAUAAAACAAAGGAAUGGUAACUACCUGCACAACUCUAAUUAAACUCUAAGGUCUUAGUUGUUGUUUUUUUGAGGGGGGGGUCACUUUGUCUGCCGAUUACGCCUUUGCAAUAUUCAAAUGUUGGUACCGAGCAGGAUAUACAUUGUUCCAUAGUGUUUAUAGCAUUUUAUUAUGUAGUGUUGUCAGGUGUGUUUCUUUAUUGUUUGUCUUGCGUCACUUUUAUGUGGGACAACAGAUGGAAAUAAGAGACUUGCUAAAUCUGGUGCAACCAUGUUUUCAUUUUUCUUUGCAUAAAUGAUCAGUGUCAUUGCACACUGUCCCUUGAUAAAUAUAUAUCAUAUAUGUAUAUUCAUUCUCUAAAACAAGGUUUUUUUUUUAACACACCCUUGUACGUCAGCCUCAAAGUUUUCCAAUGAAAUGGUCACUCUACUCCAUGUUUAAUCAGAGAGAAAAACUGAAUGGUUGUAGUUCUCAGAAUGCCAUUCUGUUGUAACUCUGUCAACCAAAUGUUAAUAUAGUUAUAUUUUUUCAUUUCAGGUAAUUUAAGCAGCUACAGAGACGACUCUGCAAAUACAAGUUCAUAUACUCACAUGAUCAUUUAACAUUCAUUCAAGAUUUCUGAACCUGUCAGAAAAUCAAAGGUUGUCUAGAACUGAACUGUUUACAAUCUGCUAAAGUUUUCAUAUUUAUUCUGUGUUCAAGUUUAAUCUCUUUGGUUUUGAAUGGAGUUGUUGUAUUUUUUCAGGGAACUGUUGCCGACUUUUUUCAUGAUCACCAUGUGUGCUCUCAAACAUUGCACUAAACUGCCUUAAAGGAAAUGCUUUUAUUGAAUCUAUACUAGAUUCAUUAUGUAACAUUUCUACGCUUCUAUAAAAUAAUAUAGAUAUUUAACUGUGUUUGAGAAAAACCUAUUUAAAUGUAUCACUAUCAAUGGUAUAUUGUGUCAAUAUGUGCUUUACUAAAUCUGCAAUUUAUGUUAUAUUAAGAGCUAAAGACAAAAUCUGUGCUGUGAUACCGCAUUUUGCAAGUAAUGUUCAUGUUUAUUCAUUUCCUAUCUGACAAAGCAGAUAUAAUGCCAUGCAUAGGACAUACACAUGACUAUAAUUUACAGAGUUGUGAGAAUGUAAUGAAGGGAGCAGUUUCAAAUUAACGCUGCUGCUGAUGUUUUACUUACAUGUUUCUGAAGUUACAUGUUGGACCUAGAAAAUGUUCCACAGCCAAUGUGUCUCAGUUGUUUUGUGAUAAUGAAUUUUUAAAACCAUUGAUGCUAUUUUGGUGCUAUGUUUUUUUUUGGUCAAAGACCAAACAUGUUCUUGAAACCAAAUUGAAACAAUAUCCUAAGAUUGUGUUAGCUAUGUCAAAUAUCCAGAGCAUCAUGUAAAUCACCACAGAAAAUGUGUUGAAUUCAGCAUGCUAAAUUCAAAUUUACAAUAGCUGUUUUUUUCUGCUUCAAUCACUGAAUGUUUGUCUUCUCUGGAUUCUUGUUGUUUUGAUGUAUUUCAUUUCUCCAUUGAAAACACUUGGAAUUUAAAAUAAACUCGCUUGAUUUCCUUUA
Molecule: RNA transcript, 2603 nt
Organism: Labrus mixtus (cuckoo wrasse)
Lineage: Eukaryota; Metazoa; Chordata; Actinopteri; Labriformes; Labridae
Gene: htatip2
Gene name: HIV-1 Tat interactive protein 2
Exons: 7
Source: RefSeq, a predicted model, not a curated record